AAGGGGGCGGGGUGCUAAUACUGCAAGUCGAGCGAACUGAUUAGAAGCUUGCUUCUAUGACGUUAGCGGCGGACGGGCCAUUACACGUGGGCAACCUGCCUGUAAGACUGGGAUAACUUCGGGAAACCGAAGCUAAUACCGGAUAGGAUCUUCUCCUUCAUGGGAGAUGAUUGAAAGAUGGUUUCGGCUAUCACUUACAGAUGGGCCCGCGGUGCAUUAGCUAGUUGGUGAGGUAACGGCUCACCAAGGCAACGAUGCAUAGCCGACCUGAGAGGGUGAUCGGCCACACUGGGACUGAGACACGGCCCAGACUCCUACGGGAGGCAGCAGUAGGGAAUCUUCCGCAAUGGACGAAAGUCUGACGGAGCAACGCCGCGUGAGUGAUGAAGGCUUUCGGGUCGAAA
Molecule: ribosomal RNA, 404 nt
Filed under: Priestia megaterium
Lineage: Bacteria; Bacillati; Bacillota; Bacilli; Caryophanales; Bacillaceae
Description: bacterial SSU rRNA
Rfam family: Bacterial small subunit ribosomal RNA
Source: RNAcentral